This 472-nucleotide ribosomal RNA is filed under the name uncultured bacterium. RNAcentral's name for it is "bacterial SSU rRNA". It matches the Rfam family "Bacterial small subunit ribosomal RNA", at positions 335 to 798 of the family's 1533-position model. The record is from RNAcentral.
ACUCCUACGGGAGGCAGCAGUAGGGAAUAUUGCGCAAUGGGGGAAACCCUGACGCAGCAACACCACGUGAGUGAGGAAGGCCUUCGGGUUGUAAAACUCUGUCCUAGGGGAAAAACGGCAUUAUCGCUAAUAUCGGUAGUGUGUGAUGGUACCCUUGAAGAAAGCACCGGCUAACUUCGUGCCAGCAGCCGCGGUAAUACGAAGGGUGCAAGCGUUGUUCGGAUUUAUUGGGCGUAAAGCGCGCGCAGGCGGAUUAGUAAGUCAGGUGUGAAAUCUCGGGGCUCAACUCCGAAACUGCGCCUGAAACUAUUAAUCUAGAGUUAUCUAGGGGGAAGGGGAAUUUCACGUGUAGGGGUAAAAUCCGUAGAGAUGUGAAGGAACACCUGAGGCGAAGGCGCCUUCCUGGGGAUACACUGACGCUGAGGCGCGAAAGCGUGGGGAGCAAACAGGAUUAGAUACCCUGGUAGGAUAG